This 253-nucleotide ribosomal RNA is filed under the name uncultured bacterium. Its description in RNAcentral is "partial 16S ribosomal RNA". It matches the Rfam family "Bacterial small subunit ribosomal RNA", at positions 524 to 776 of the family's 1533-position model. The record is from RNAcentral.
UACGUAGGGUGCGAGCGUUAAUCGGAAUUACUGGGCGUAAAGCGUGCGCAGGCGGUUUUGUAAGCCAGAUGUGAAAUCCCCGGGCUUAACCUGGGAAUGGCAUUUGGGACUGCAAAGCUUGAGUGUGGCAGAGGGGACUGGAAUUCCUGGUGUAGCAGUGAAAUGCGUAGAGAUCAGGAGGAAUACCGAUGGCGAAGGCAGCCCCCUGGGAUAACACUGACGCUCAUGCACGAAAGCGUGGGGAGCAAACAGG